GUCUAUGGCUAUAUCACCCUGAACACACUGGAUCUUGUCUGAUCUCAGAAGCUAAGCAGGGUCGAGGCCUGGUUAGUACUUGGAAGGGAGAAAUUAUCUCAAUUCAAACAUCACAAAAAAUCUGAAAGCCAGCUACC
RNAcentral lists this ribosomal RNA (137 nucleotides) under Cebus imitator (Panamanian white-faced capuchin). Lineage: Eukaryota; Metazoa; Chordata; Mammalia; Primates; Cebidae. The record is from RNAcentral.